GAUGAACGCUGGCGGCGUGCUUAACACAUGCAAGUCGAACGUGAGAAUAGCAAUAUUUGAAAGUGGCAAACGGGUGAGUAACACGUGGGAACCUGCCCUGGAGUGGGGGAUAACGACUGGAAACGGUCGCUAAUACCGCACAGUUCUACUCUAUCGGGAGUUGAGUAGAUAAAGAUUUAUCGCUCUGGGAGGGGCCCGCGGCCGAUUAGCUAGUUGGUGAGGUAAUGGCUCACCAAGGCAAUUAUCGGUAGCUGGUCUGAGAGGACGAUCAGCCACAUGGGAACUGAGACACGGUCCCAACUCCUACGGGGGGCAGCAGUGAGGAAUAUUGGGCAAUGGGCGAAAGCCUGACCCAGCAACGCCGCGUGGAGGAUGAAGGCUUUAGGGUCGUAAACUCCUUUUGUGGGGGAAAAGUAAGGAUGGUACCCCAAGAAUAAGUCACGGCUAACUACGUG
RNAcentral lists this ribosomal RNA (455 nucleotides) under uncultured bacterium. RNAcentral's name for it is "bacterial SSU rRNA". It matches the Rfam family "Bacterial small subunit ribosomal RNA", at positions 28 to 507 of the family's 1533-position model. The record is from RNAcentral.